RNAcentral lists this ribosomal RNA (175 nucleotides) under uncultured bacterium. RNAcentral describes it as "partial 16S ribosomal RNA". It matches the Rfam family "Bacterial small subunit ribosomal RNA", at positions 1329 to 1500 of the family's 1533-position model. The record is from RNAcentral.
GAAUCGCUAGUAAUCGCGGAUCAGCUACGCCGCGGUGAGUACGUUCCCGGGCCUUGUACACACCGCCCGUCACACCAUGAGAGUCUGUAACACCCAAAGCCGGUGGGAUAACCUUUAUAGGAGUCAGCCGUCUAAGGUAGGACAGAUGAUUAGGGUGAAGUCGUAACAAGGUAGC